Molecule: long non-coding RNA, 1466 nt
Filed under: Coturnix japonica (Japanese quail)
Lineage: Eukaryota; Metazoa; Chordata; Aves; Galliformes; Phasianidae
Description: lncRNA (ENSCJPG00005002805.1)
Source: RNAcentral
UAUCCCCCGGAAGUCCCAUCUUUUUCCCCCGGAAGUCCCCCCACCCCCCCGGAAGUUUAUUCCCGGAAGUCCCACCUCUUCACCCCGGAAGUCCCUUCCCGGAAGUCCCACCUCCUCACCCCGGAAGUCCCUUUCCGGAAGUCCCUUCUAUCCCGGAAGUAACCCUCCCGGAAGUCCCUCCCCAUUCCCGGAAGUGACCACCCCGGAAGUCACUCCUAUCCCGGAAGUGACCCCCCCCGGAAGUCCCUCCCCAUUCCCGGAAGUGACUCCCCCCGGAAGUCCCUCCCCUUCCCGGAAGUCCCCCCCACCCCCCGGAAGUCCCAUCUUUUUCCCCCGGAAGUCCCCCCACCCCCCGGAAGUCCCUUCCCGGAAGUCCCACCUCCUCACCCCGGAAGUGACCCUCCCGGAAGUCUCUUCUAUCCCGGAAGUGACCCUCCCGGAAGUCCCUCCCCAUUCCCGGAAGUGACCACCCCGGAAGUCACUCCUAUCCCGGAAGUGACCCUCCCGGAAGUCCCUCCCCAUUCCCGGAAGUGACCACCCCGGAAGUCCCUCCCCAUUCCCGGAAGUGACCACCCCGGAAGUCCCUCCCCUUCCCGGAAGUGACUCCAUUUCCGCCGGAAGUCCCGCCCACCGUAGUCAGACCAGGACGAAUAGAGGCACUGUGAUUGGUCGGGGCUGAAGACGACGUCCAAGAUGGCCCAGCCCACAUCGCGGCCCCGCCAGCACCGCAACCAGCGCAGCUCCGACCCACGGCACGAGUACAGCCUCAAGGUCUGGUCUGGAAGGAAAACGGGCCCAAAAUUGGCCAAAAAUGGGGGAUUUUAGCCCAAAAUUGGGGCCUAAAUUGAGUAGAGGCUCAGUGUACGAUCUGGAAUGAAAAAGGCCCCAAAAUUGGCCAAAAAUUGGGGUUUUUAGCCCAAAAUUGGGGCCUAAAUUGAGUAGAGGCUCAGUGUAUGAUCUGGAAUGAAAAAGGACCCAAAAUUGGCCAAAAAUUGGGGAUUUUAGCCCAAAAUUGGGGCCAAAAGUUGAGUAGAGGCUCAGUGUAUGAUCUGGAACCAAAAUGGCCCCAAAAUUGGCCAAAAAUUGGGGUUUUUAGCCCAAAAUUGGGGCCUAAAUUGAGUAGAGGCUCAGUGUAUGAUCUGGAAUGAAAAAGGCCCCAAAAUUGGCCAAAAAUUGGAGAUUUUAGCCCAAAAUUGAGGCCUAAACUUGAGAAGAAGGGCUCAGUGUAUGAUCUGGAACCAAAAUGGCCCCAAAAUUGGCCAAAAAUUGGGGUUUUUAGCCCAAAAUUGAGGCCUAAAUUGACUAGAGGCUCAGUGUAUGAUCUGGAACCAAAAUGGCCCCAAAAUUGGCCAAAAAUUGAGGAUUUUAGCCCAAAAUUGGGGCCUAAAUUGAGUAGAGGCUCAGUGUAUGAUCUGGAAUGAAAAAGGCCCCAAAAUUGGCCAAAAAUUGGGGUUUUUAGCCCAAAA